RNAcentral lists this ribosomal RNA (599 nucleotides) under uncultured bacterium. Its description in RNAcentral is "bacterial SSU rRNA". It matches the Rfam family "Bacterial small subunit ribosomal RNA", at positions 338 to 950 of the family's 1533-position model. The record is from RNAcentral.
CCUACGGGAGGCAGCAGUGGGGAAUAUUGGACAAUGGGCGAAAGCCUGAUCCAGCAAUGCCGCGUGAGUGAUGAAGGCCUUAGGGUUGUAAAGCUCUUUUACCAGGGAUGAUAAUGACAGUACCUGGAGAAUAAGCUCCGGCUAACUCCGUGCCAGCAGCCGCGGUAAUACGGAGGGAGCUAGCGUUGUUCGGAAUUACUGGGCGUAAAGCGUACGUAGGCGGUUAUUCAAGUCAGAGGUGAAAGCCUGGAGCUCAACUCCAGAACUGCCUUUGAAACUAGAUAGCUAGAAUCUUGGAGAGGUGAGUGGAAUUCCGAGUGUAGAGGUGAAAUUCGUAGAUAUUCGGAAGAACACCAGUGGCGAAGGCGACUCACUGGACAAGUAUUGACGCUGAGGUACGAAAGCGUGGGGAGCAAACAGGAUUAGAUACCCUGGUAGUCCACGCCGUAAACGAUGAUAACUAGCUGUUCGGGCUCUACGAGCUUGAGUGGCGCAGCUAACGCAUUAAGUAUCCGCCUGGGGAGUACGGUCGCAAGAUUAAAACGUCAAAGAGUAGUAGACCGNGUAGAGUGUCGACGAGACACGACGGGAGGUUAGAG